This 206-nucleotide ribosomal RNA is filed under the name uncultured bacterium. Its description in RNAcentral is "partial 16S ribosomal RNA". It matches the Rfam family "Bacterial small subunit ribosomal RNA", at positions 568 to 774 of the family's 1533-position model. The record is from RNAcentral.
CACGUAGGCGGCGCUCUAAGUCAGGUGUGAAAUCCCCGGCUCAACCGGGGAACUGCACCUGAUACUGGAGCGCUCGAGGACGGUAGGGGUGAGUGGAACUCCAGGUGGAGCGGUGAAAUGCGUAGAUAUCUGGAGGAACACCGGUGGCGAAAGCGGCUCACUGGACCGUCUCUGACGCUGAGGUGCGAAAGCUAGGGUAGCAAACG